AUCAAAACUAGAGUCAAUUCAUUGAUUCAGCACACCAAUAAAAAAAAACUGCUGGGAAGUCCAAUGAUCUGUAAUUCAGCAAACCAACCAUCAGAAACCAAGGCUCCACAUGUAACAUCCGAAUGUCAUAAGUGAACAUUUUACAAGACAUUGCUUAGAACAUUCACCCAACCUCCUGUUUAUAUAUGAUAAAACACCCAAAAUUUGUCUUCCAUAGCCACCUAGAAUAUAUGAAUCCACAUUACAUUAACUUGGGUACUAAUCACACUGAAUACUACACUAUCAUAGUAUCAUAUAACUACAUAAGUAAUAUAUUUCCACUCGACGAAAAUCGC
Molecule: long non-coding RNA, 335 nt
Filed under: Setaria viridis
Lineage: Eukaryota; Viridiplantae; Streptophyta; Magnoliopsida; Poales; Poaceae
Description: long non-coding RNA (SVIR_LNC002422)
Source: RNAcentral